AGCUUUGCAAAACAGUAGUAUCAUAGCCAAUGAGAUUUAUCCAAGGCAUGAUUAUUGCUAAUUGAAAACUUUUCCCAAUAACCAGCUUUGACAACUUGGAAUUGGCAAUAAAAUAAAUAAAUAUGAAAUGACUUAAGUC
Molecule: small nuclear RNA, 139 nt
Organism: Marmota monax (woodchuck)
Lineage: Eukaryota; Metazoa; Chordata; Mammalia; Rodentia; Sciuridae
Product: U4 spliceosomal RNA
Exons: 1
Source: RefSeq, a predicted model, not a curated record